CCCCCAGUUGGGCGCCACCUCUACGUGGUGUGGGGGAGCAACUCACCAUACGGGUGAGGCGAAGCGCGUC
Molecule: non-coding RNA, 70 nt
Filed under: unclassified sequences
Source: RNAcentral